This 458-nucleotide ribosomal RNA is filed under the name uncultured bacterium. RNAcentral describes it as "partial 16S ribosomal RNA". It matches the Rfam family "Bacterial small subunit ribosomal RNA", at positions 338 to 795 of the family's 1533-position model. The record is from RNAcentral.
CCUACGGGGUGCUGCAGUGGGGAAUAUUGCACAAUGGGGGAAACCCUGAUGCAGCGACGCCGCGUGAGUGAAGAAGUAUUUCGGUAUGUAAAGCUCUAUCAGCAGGGAAGAAAUAGCGACCUUUGGGUCGCCAGACGGUACCUGACUAAGAAGCCCCGGCUAACUACGUGCCAGCAACCGCGGUAGUACGGAGGGGGCAAGCGUUAUCCGGAUUUACUGGGUGUAAAGGGAGCGUAGACGGCAGCACAAGUCUGAAGUGAAAUGCCGGGGCUUAACCCCGGAACUGCUUUGGAAACUGUGCAGCUAGAGUGCAGGAGAGGUAAGUGGAAUUCCUAGGGUAGCGGUGAAAUGCGUAGAUAUUAGGAGGAACACCAGGGGCGAAGGCGGCUUACUGGACUGUAACUGACGUUGAGGCUCGAAAGCGUGGGGAGCAAACAGGAUUAGAUACCCUAGUAGUC